This 26-nucleotide non-coding RNA is filed under the name Homo sapiens (human). Lineage: Eukaryota; Metazoa; Chordata; Mammalia; Primates; Hominidae. The record is from RNAcentral.
UCCUGAUCUGUGUACUCAUUGUCUGC